Mastomys coucha (southern multimammate mouse) is the source of this 242-nucleotide long non-coding RNA. RefSeq lists it as uncharacterized. Lineage: Eukaryota; Metazoa; Chordata; Mammalia; Rodentia; Muridae. The record is from RefSeq and is a predicted model, not a curated record. The transcript is spliced from 3 exons.
CUUUGCUUUGGCUCAGACUCCCAAGUGACUCUGCCUGGGCUUAUUAAUCACUCCCUCCCCUGUCUUAAUGAAGGGAACCUUGAAGGCUGGAAGCAUACAGACAGCUCCAACGCUCCAAGAACAAUAUGCCGAGUCGAUUUUGGAAGCGUAUAUGGGAUAAAGGGCUGCUAAUUAGACAACCUCACCUGUCAAGGGGUACACAGCGGCAGGAGCCAUGCCCAUGGAAUUCUGGGAAAGCAUCA